AUGGAAGCAGCCCCUGAGGAGCAAGGCAUAUGGAUACAUGCAUUAUCGUCUCCAGGCCUCUGCAUUGUCCCCAGAGAUGAAACCAGGAUGCAGAGUGGUCUGCCCACCAGCUCUCCCCAGCAGGGACCAGCAUGGGUCCUGCAGAGCCCAGACCUGGCAGCAGGAACAAUCGGCACACAGAAGACCCUGCAGCCUUUGGAGCCGCAUUCCCCCUUGUCCAAGGGCUUGGUCCUCAGAGCUUUCCUUAGAUUUAUUUAUACUGGAAAAAGUGUGGGAAAGGGAGAGGAGCAAAAGCAACCAAUUCCAUGCUGCAGAUUCAAAGUUCUGCUUUCCAACCUCAGAAUAUAAUAAAUGGCUGCUGACUUACUUGACAUGGAGAUAAAGUCUGUAGGGUGAAUUUUCAGAGCAACGCACAGGAAAUUAUAUGCACAAUUACUGUUGUUAACAGAGCCUGGGCAUGUAACUCCCUGCACAGCAGGCUGGAAAUCUUCCCCAUGCAUGUUUAAUGGGGUUUGGGUUGCUACAUUCCUAGGGCUGUGUCCCUUUUCUAAUGCCUGGUGUCCUGGAUGAAACAAAGGAAGUACUGAAUGUAAAAGAGAUUUCAUUUUGCUAUUAAAAUAAUAUUCUCUUUAUCUGCAGCCUUCCUCUAAUGCCGGAGAACUUCUUGCCUCACUCAGUGAUCCCUUAACCUUUCUGUGCUGUGAGAAAAAUACCGUGGCUUUAUUUAUUUAUUUAUUCUUCUAAAUGUCUUCCACACAACCUGCUCAUCGAUGUUCAUACAAAUGAGUGCAUACGUGUUCGUACAGGCAGCCUGCUUUCUUCUAAGGAUGGCUGUUGCUGAAGUAAGUGUAGGUCGUAACACGGAAAAUAUUUAUCUAAAUCUUAAUGCGUAAAUGCCUCUGUGUAAAGAAUAGAUGUGCACAUCUUCAUAGGAAAAUGAAUGGCAUGUGCCAUUUCACUAGGCAGACAUAUUUUAAAUGUCUCAGUGCUCAGGUUAUUAGUGUGUGUUACUUAAACUUUAGCCUGCUGUAAACUAGGAAGGGUUUGUAACUCUGGGAUGGUGUUGUGCUUCCAUGCUGUUUAUUUAGGUUUAUUUAUGGCAGUCGUUUUCUCUUCCUGUGAAGAAGACUAUCUCCUGCACCUCGAUCAAUUGAAAUGAACUUUAAUUAGCUCCAAUAAAAAAUAAAUUACUCCUUUAAACUGACGGUUU
Molecule: long non-coding RNA, 1210 nt
Filed under: Coturnix japonica (Japanese quail)
Lineage: Eukaryota; Metazoa; Chordata; Aves; Galliformes; Phasianidae
Description: lncRNA (ENSCJPG00005020050.1)
Source: RNAcentral